Molecule: long non-coding RNA, 583 nt
Organism: Xyrauchen texanus (razorback sucker)
Lineage: Eukaryota; Metazoa; Chordata; Actinopteri; Cypriniformes; Catostomidae
Exons: 3
Source: RefSeq, a predicted model, not a curated record
GAAAGGGAAAGAAAAGCCUUGAAGACCUGGAAAUCUGCACGGUGAUCAUUCAGGCAUGCCGCAAGAUGCAUCCAAAGGAGUCAAUAAAGGUGUUUGUUGAGUGCAUCGCAGAGACUUUUAAGUAUGCUCCACAUCGCGGAACAAGGGCCCUGUCUGGCAGUCCGAGGGAGUUGUACUCGGCAGGGGCGAGGAGCCUACCCCUGUGUGGGACGGGGCUCAGCUGGUGGUGGUGGUGGUGGGGUGGAGGAGGUUGCCGUGUUAGCACACUGAAACAGCAAUGUGAUAGAUCGUAAGCAGACUUAUAAAGCAAUGCCUUACAUGCGAUUGGCUGGGAAUUACCCAUAAUGGUGUGAUGAUGUACAGCUGAUCUUCCCGCUAGAACUACACUGCACUUACAUUUCAGUUGCAUAUAAGUAGCAAAAGUGAAUGUCUUAUGAUAAUCUCAUAAUAUAAUAACAAUUAAAAAUAAUAACUUGAGGCAAUCUGUUCACUUCACAGGUGGAGAAUCAGGAGAGUGGACACCAGUAGUGUGUGUAAUGUGUACACACACUUAUAUACUUUUACUCUUAAUGUUAUAAAAUAC